CCUACGGGAGGCAGCAGUGAGGAAUAUUGGUCAAUGGGCGCGAGCCUGAACCAGCCAAGUCGCGUGAAGGAUGACUGCCCUAUGGGUUGUAAACUUCUUUUAUAAAGGAAUAAAACGAGGCACGUGUGCCUUUUUGCAUGUACUUUAUGAAUAAGGAUCGGCUAACUCCGUGCCAGCAGCCGCGGUAAUACGGAGGAUCCGAGCGUUAUCCGGAUUUAUUGGGUUUAAAGGGAGCGUAGAUGGGUUGUUAAGUCAGUUGUGAAAGUUUGCGGCUCAACCUUAAAAUUGCAAUUGAUACUGGCAGUCUUGAGUACAGUUGAGGUAGGCGGAAUGCGUGGUGUAGCGGUGAAAUGCUUAGAUAUCACGAAGAACCCCGAUUGCGAAGGCAGCUUACUAAGCUGUGACUGACGUUGAUGCACGAAAGCGUGGGGAUCAAACAGGAUUAGAUACCCUUGUAGUC
Molecule: ribosomal RNA, 460 nt
Filed under: uncultured bacterium
Lineage: Bacteria
Description: partial 16S ribosomal RNA
Rfam family: Bacterial small subunit ribosomal RNA
Source: RNAcentral